GAUCCUGGCUCAGGAUGAACGCUAGCGGCAGGCCUAACACAUGCAAGUCGAGGGGCAGCACGUUAAAAGAGUUUACUCUUUAUGGUGGCGACCGGUGGACGGGUGCGUAACGCGUAUGCAACCUGCCUGACACGGGGGGGAUAAUCCGAAGAAAUUUGGUCUAAUACCCCAUAAUACCGAUAUAGGCAUCUAUGUUGGUUGAAAGCUUUGGUGGUGUCAGAUGGGCAUGCUUGUAUUAGCUAGUUGG
This 247-nucleotide ribosomal RNA is filed under the name uncultured bacterium. Its description in RNAcentral is "partial 16S ribosomal RNA". It matches the Rfam family "Bacterial small subunit ribosomal RNA", at positions 15 to 252 of the family's 1533-position model. The record is from RNAcentral.